Molecule: non-coding RNA, 84 nt
Organism: Lentinula boryana
Lineage: Eukaryota; Fungi; Basidiomycota; Agaricomycetes; Agaricales; Omphalotaceae
Source: the annotation of a GenBank genome assembly
GCCCGCCUAGCUCAAUCGGAUAGAGCGUCAGACUUUUACGAGCGGGUAAUCUGAAGGCUGCGAGUUCGACCCUCGCGGUGGGCU